CUUCUCUCUCUAGCCACUGUCCUCUCUUUUUCUCUCUCUCCAGUCAUCGUUCUCUCUUCUUCUCUCUCUUCGACCACCGUCAUUGUCUCUUUCGAAUCUCUCCACCCCCCACCCCGCGACCACCAUCUUCUCUUCUUCUUUCUCUCCGGCCCCUGUCAUCAUCUCCUCCAAACCCCCCACCUGUGGCCACUGUCCUCUCUUCUUCUUUCCCUCC
This 214-nucleotide long non-coding RNA is filed under the name Elaeis guineensis (African oil palm). RNAcentral describes it as "long non-coding RNA (EGUI_LNC026662)". Lineage: Eukaryota; Viridiplantae; Streptophyta; Magnoliopsida; Arecales; Arecaceae. The record is from RNAcentral.